Molecule: non-coding RNA, 1480 nt
Organism: Lactuca sativa (garden lettuce)
Lineage: Eukaryota; Viridiplantae; Streptophyta; Magnoliopsida; Asterales; Asteraceae
Source: RefSeq, a predicted model, not a curated record
UGUGGUAGGGACAAAAUGCUAGGGCCGGACGCGUUUACUUUCAAAUUCUUGAAGAGAUAUUGGGACGUCAUUAAAGACGAUCGAUGUCAUUAAGUUCUUGAAGUAUCUUGAAGACUUCACGCUGUGUUACACAAAGGUUCUUCACGACUCCACCAUCCGCCUCCUUCUGAUGAAUAUCUCUCAAUGAGAUCUUUCCGCCACCGAUUUCUGCCAAGGAUAUCGCAUAGACUAAAGAUCGACGAUCCACUCCAUCUACCGCCUUCCUCCUCUUUCCAUCCUACAUCUCUAGCUGUUCUAACAAACAACAACGACUACCAAUCCACGAUCCUCGUUUGGCAUAUCAACGACGUCAAAUCCACGAUCCAAGAGAUCUACGUCAUUCAUUUUUAUGUUCGAUUGCAACAAUAAACCGUCAAAACGCAUUUGUGGAUCACCUCUAUCUGGCGAGGAUCUUAUACCGCCAAUGCCUUCUUUUCCAAUCGCACCUCCGACCGCCCCAAUCUACACAAACAUCGUCACAUAUGGCUCCAACCUCCACAGUCCCCAUUUAUGUAUCGAUUAUCAAAUCCCCCUUACAUUGAACCAAUGUUUCUUGCUUAUAUCAGCUGGUUCUUUAUCCCACUUCUUCUUAGAUUGCCUGUUUGAGGUGAUGGAAGAUAUUACUCAAAGGAUGCUAUCCAGAUAAUAAUUAAAAUGACAGCUACAAAUGGUGCAAGACGUAUCUGGGUUGGUCAAAAUGGUCUUUUGUCAACACCUGUUGUAUCAGCAGUUGUACGUGAAAGAGUUGGUGCUGAUCAAAUGGAGCAUUUAUAUUGACAGUCGGUCACAACCCUGGUGGUCCAAAUGAGGGUUUUUGAAUUAAAUACAAUAUGGAAAAUGGUGGGCCAACACCUGAUGGACUUACUGAUAAAAUCUUUGAGAGCACUAAAACAAUAUAGGGGUAUUUUAUUGAUGAAGGCUUACCUGAUGUGGAUAUCUCUGCAAUUGGUGUUUCAUCCUUUUCAGGCCCUAAUGGAAAAUUCGAUGUUGAUGUUUUUGACGCAGCAAGCGACUAUGUGAAAUUGAUGAAGUAUGCUAUCACAAUGUAAAUGACGUUAUUUCCCUUCAUUAUCUAAUGGAUUAAAUGAACUCCUUGUGAUAUAUGUAAUCAUAUUCUAUUUUGUUACAACAAUGAAAGAUUUUGAGGAUAAUGAAGUGAUAUAUUUGAAUUUUGUUAAUCAUUCUCACAUAUCUAUGCCAGUUAUUUUGUCUUUUUAGGGCCAAAAUUCUGAAUGGGUGAAUGUGUACAUCAGCAAUUUGAACCCGUCAAAUGAUGACUGGAUUGGAGUUUUCUUCCCUGCCAAUUUCAGAUUUGAAAGAAUUUUUGGUGAAUAUUGAAGAGGUGAAAAAUGAUAAAUUGAAGAAAAUAAGAAAAUAUUGACAUGAAGACAUGAAAACACUUGGAAAUUUGUAGCAAUUUUUAAUUUUAUAUUUUAUUUUG